GCAUAUUUUAGAGGCUAAAAUCAAANUAUUAAAAUUUAUAAUUUUANUACCAAAUCCACCUUCAAAAAAUUUUUCAUAUUUAAAUCCGUAUAAAUAAAUUUAUUGUAACCCAUUUCUACUUAAUCAUUAGCUACACCUUGAUCUGAUAUAAAUUAUAAUAAAAAUUCAAGAAAAUUAUUAUUCUAAUAAAAUAUUCUUAUAACGACGGUAUAUAAACUGAAAACAUUAUUAAGUAAGGUCCAACGUGGAAUAUCAAUUACAGAACAGGUUCCUCUGGAUAGACUAAAAUACCGCCAAAUUUUUUAAGUUUCAAGACCAUAACUACUACUACCUAAGAAUACAAAAUAAUUUUAAAUAAUA
This 360-nucleotide ribosomal RNA is filed under the name Mimegralla australica. RNAcentral describes it as "partial 12S ribosomal RNA". Lineage: Eukaryota; Metazoa; Arthropoda; Insecta; Diptera; Micropezidae. The record is from RNAcentral.